This is a long non-coding RNA of Daphnia carinata, 690 nucleotides long. RefSeq lists it as uncharacterized. The transcript is spliced from 3 exons. NCBI's taxonomy places the organism in Eukaryota, Metazoa, Arthropoda, Branchiopoda, Diplostraca, Daphniidae. The record is from RefSeq and is a predicted model, not a curated record.
CGCUUCCUACGAAUUCAAGCCAAAUCCUGAUGUAGACGAACGUUGGGAACGCUUUAAGGUAAAAUUUCGAAAAACGUAUGCUAGUGAUGCUGAAAAACUGAAAAGACGGGAAAUUUGGGAGAAGAACCUCACCGACAUCGACAAACACAAAGAAGAGUACAAGGAAGGCAAACAUUCCUACACGCUGGGAGAGAACAAAUACGCUGACAUGACAAAAGAUGAAUGGAAAAAUCAUUUCAAGGGGAAGAGACCUUCAAAGAAACCGAAAAAAAAAGACUGCUUAAUGACACGUUCAGCGACUGCAAGGAGGGAGUCGGUCCUUUCCAUGUCCCAUCGUCUCAUUCUCGGCCCUUUACAUCACCGUCUUGCAUCAGAACACGUCCCUCAUUCAGCCAGCAAACACUGCAUUUUUUGCCGUUUUCAGACAGAUCGCAAUGUCGUUCAUCAUCUAAAAGAAUAACCUGCGAUAAUUUUCGGACACUUGGCAAUCUAUACAUUGAACCACCGGAUACCAAAUUUCGUCUCCUGGCGGGAUUCCUUUUUCUGCACUAGACAGAGAAGAUGCUGGUAUAAAGUUGCCCGAUUUAUUUUAAGGCCAACUGAAGUUCGAAAUGCACCGUACGUUACUCCGUCAGAUGACGAAACAUUUGCUUGCCUGUCUGAAAAUGGCUAGGGUAUUAUAAAUACGUU